GACGAACGCUGGCGGCGUGCCUAAUACAUGCAAGUAGAACGCACAGUUUAUACCGUAGCUUGCUACACCAUAGACUGUGAGUUGCGAGCGGGUGAGUAACGCGUAGGUAACCUGCCUGGUAGCGGGGGAUAACUAUUGGAAACGAUAGCUAAUACCGCAUAAUAUUGAUUAUUGCAUGAUAAUUUUUUGAAAGAUGCUAUUGCAUCACUACCAGAUGGACCUGCGUUGUAUUAGCUAGUAGGUGAGGGAAAGGCUCACCUAGGCGGCGAGACAUAGCCGACCUGAGAGGGUGAGCGGCCACACUGGGACGGAGACACGGCCCAGAGGCAUACGGGAGGCAGCAGUAGGGAAUCUUGGGCCAGGGGCGAAAGUCUUACCGAGAUACGCCGCGUGAGCGUAGAAGGUUUUCGGAUGGUAAAGGUCUGUUGUAAGGGAAGAACGGGUGUGAGAGUGGAAAGUUCACACUGUGACGGUAUCUGACCAGAAAGGGACGGCUAACUACGUG
This 505-nucleotide ribosomal RNA is filed under the name uncultured bacterium. Its description in RNAcentral is "partial 16S ribosomal RNA". It matches the Rfam family "Bacterial small subunit ribosomal RNA", at positions 28 to 507 of the family's 1533-position model. The record is from RNAcentral.